UGUACUCGAACGUCGCGUUUAGGCGGUC
Molecule: non-coding RNA, 28 nt
Filed under: Bombyx mori (domestic silkworm)
Lineage: Eukaryota; Metazoa; Arthropoda; Insecta; Lepidoptera; Bombycidae
Source: RNAcentral